AGCUUUGCGCAGUGGCAGUAUCGUAGCCAAUGAGGUUUAUCCAAGGCACGAUUAUUGCUAAUUGAAAACUUGCCUUGGGAACCAAUACCAAGGUGCCACUUAGUUCUAUGACUCUCCCAAAUGGUG
RNAcentral lists this small nuclear RNA (126 nucleotides) under Tupaia belangeri (northern tree shrew). RNAcentral describes it as "U4 spliceosomal RNA (ENSTBEG00000018919.1)". The stretch from base 1 to 77 matches the Rfam family "U4 spliceosomal RNA". Rfam says of the family: U4 small nuclear RNA (U4 snRNA) is a component of the major U2-dependent spliceosome. The structure of U4 snRNA from yeast and human has been reported. Lineage: Eukaryota; Metazoa; Chordata; Mammalia; Scandentia; Tupaiidae. The record is from RNAcentral.